RNAcentral lists this ribosomal RNA (497 nucleotides) under uncultured bacterium. RNAcentral's name for it is "partial 16S ribosomal RNA". It matches the Rfam family "Bacterial small subunit ribosomal RNA", at positions 28 to 507 of the family's 1533-position model. The record is from RNAcentral.
GAUGAACGCUGGCGGCGUGCCUAAUACAUGCAAGUCGAGCGAACGGACGAGAAGCUUGCUUUUCUGAUGUUAGCGGCGGACGGGUGAGUAACACGUGGAUAACCUACCUAUAAGACUGGGAUAACUUCGGGAAACCGGAGCUAAUACCGGAUAAUAUUUUGAACCGCAUGGUUCAUAAGUGAAAGACGGUCUUGCUGUCACUUAUAGAUGGAUCCGCGCUGCAUUAGCUAGUUGGUAAGGUAACGGCUUACCAAGGCAACGAUGCAUAGCCGACCUGAGAGGGUGAUCGGCCACACUGGAACUGAGACACGGUCCAGACUCCUACGGGAGGCAGCAGUAGGGAAUCUUCCGCAAUGGGCGAAAGCCUGACGGAGCAACGCCGCGUGAGUGAUGAAGGUCUUCGGAUCGUAAAACUCUGUUAUUAGAGAAGAACAUAUGUGUAAGUAACUGUGCACAUCUUGACGGUACCUAAUCAGAAAGCCACGGCUAACUACGUG